GAGUUUGAUCCUGGCUCAGGAUGAACGCUAGCGGCAGGCCUAACACAUGCAAGUCGAGGGGUAACAUAGUUUGCUUGCAAACUGAUGACGACCGGCGCACGGGUGCGGAACGCGUAUGGAACCUGCCCCUGUCAGGGGAAUAGCCCAGGGAAACUUGGAUUAAUGCCCCAUGGUAUCGUUUUAUCGCAUGAUAAGGUGAUUAAAGAUUUAUCGGACAGGGAUGGCCAUGCGUACCAUUAGUUAGAUGGUGGGGUAACGGCCCACCAUGGCAGCGAUGGUUAGGGGCCCUGAGAGGGGGAUCCCCCACACUGGUACUGAGACACGGACCAGACUCCUACGGGAGGCAGCAGUGAGGAAUAUUGGACAAUGGGCGGGAGCCUGAUCCAGCCAUGCCGCGUGCAGGAUGACGGCCCUAUGGGUUGUAAACUGCUUUUAUACGGGAAGAAACGCACCUACGUGUAGGUGUCUGACGGUACCGUAAGAAUAAGGACCGGCUAACUCCGUGCCAGCAGCCGCGGUAAUACGGAGGGUCCGAGCGUUAUCCGGAAUCAUUGGGUUUAAAGGGUCCGUAGGCGGGCAUGUAAGUCAGGGGUGAAAGUUUGUGGCUCAACCAUAAAAUUGCCUUUGAUACUGCAUGUCUUGAGUCAUGGUGGGGUUGCCGGAACAUGUGGUGUAGCGGUGAAAUGCAUAGAUAUCACAUAGAACACCGAUCGCGAAGGCAGGUGACCAACCAUGUACUGACGCUGAUGGACGAAAGCGGGGGUAGCGAACGGGAUUAGAUACCCCGGUAGUCCACGCCGUAAACGAUGGAUACUAGCUGUGGGGACUUCGGUCUCCGUGGCCAAGCGAAAGUGAUAAGUAUCCCACCUGGGGAGUACGUUCGCAAGAAUGAAACUCAAAGGAAUUGACGGGGGCCCGCACAAGCGGUGGAGCAUGUGGUUUAAUUCGAUGAUACGCGAGGAACCUUACCAGGGCUUAAAUGCAGGCUGCAUGGGGUAGAGAUACCCCUUUCUUCGGACUGCCUGCAAGGUGCUGCAUGGUUGUCGUCAGCUCGUGCCGUGAGGUGUCAGGUUAAGUCCUAUAACGAGCGCAACC
This 1095-nucleotide ribosomal RNA is filed under the name uncultured Bacteroidota bacterium. RNAcentral describes it as "bacterial SSU rRNA". It matches the Rfam family "Bacterial small subunit ribosomal RNA", at positions 9 to 1103 of the family's 1533-position model. Lineage: Bacteria; Pseudomonadati; Bacteroidota. The record is from RNAcentral.